RNAcentral lists this ribosomal RNA (612 nucleotides) under Saccharomycopsis crataegensis. RNAcentral's name for it is "eukaryotic LSU rRNA". It matches the Rfam family "Eukaryotic large subunit ribosomal RNA", at positions 38 to 667 of the family's 3401-position model. Lineage: Eukaryota; Fungi; Ascomycota; Saccharomycetes; Ascoideales; Saccharomycopsidaceae. The record is from RNAcentral.
GCAUAUCAAUAAGCGGAGGAAAAGAAACCAACAGGGAUUGCCUCAGUAACGGCGAGUGAAGCGGCAAAAGCUCAAAUUUGAAAUCUAACACUUUCAGUGUUCGAGUUGUAAUUUGAAGAAAGUUUCUCUGAGUAGUCCUUUAUCUAUGUUCCUUGGAACAGGACGUCAUAGAGGGUGAGAAUCCCGUAUGAUUUUGGAUACUAUUCUUUGUGAGAUUCUUUCGAAGAGUCGAGUUGUUUGGGAAUGCAGCUCUAAGUGGGUGGUAAAUUCCAUCUAAAGCUAAAUAUUGGCGAGAGACCGAUAGCGAACAAGUACAGUGAUGGAAAGAUGAAAAGAACUCUGAAGAGAGAGUGAAAAAGUACGUGAAAUUGCUGAAAGGGAAGGGCUUUAGGUCAGACUUGGUGUUUAAUGAUUAUCUUCUCUUUUUGAGUUGUGCACUCGUUUUUCACUGGGCCAAUAUCAGUUUUUGUGGUAGAGCACCUAUUGGAAUGUAGCUUUUCUUCGGAUGAGUGUUAUAGCCUUUAGACGAUCUAUUUACGGAGACUGAGGACUGCGCGUUAUGCUAGGAUAUUGGCGUAAUGACCUUAAGCCGCCCGUCUUGAAACACGGACC